RNAcentral lists this transfer RNA (85 nucleotides) under Felis catus (domestic cat). It matches the Rfam family "tRNA". Rfam says of the family: Transfer RNA (tRNA) molecules are approximately 80 nucleotides in length. Their secondary structure includes four short double-helical elements and three loops (D, anti-codon, and T loops). Lineage: Eukaryota; Metazoa; Chordata; Mammalia; Carnivora; Felidae. The record is from Rfam by way of RNAcentral.
GCCUGGGUGGCUCAGUUGGUUGAGCGUCUGACUUCGGCUCAGGUCAUGAUCUCACGUUGUGUGAGUUCAAGCCCCACCUUGGGCU